CCCAUUUAGGGCUGACUGCAUUGGGGAAGAAUCUCUUUCUGAAGAUCAUUCACUUUAGAGUUUUUCUGUGAGCCUAGGAAGAAACGAGGAAAGUCACAACAAUAAUUGGAUGGGAAUGAUAAACUUGCAAUGACUCCUCAAAAUUGAACAGAAUACAGAGACAGAACUCAUAAAAGUGGAGGCAAGAGAGCAGUACCUUUGGAGUUGGAUUCUUUGAGGCAGAUUAAAUAAAUGCUCAGAAGUGAGAUAGAAAGAAACCAAAGGGAAUGUAUCCCUUUCUAAACUUUUUCAAAUGGCUUCACAGUGAUGGUAAGAGAAGAAUUUGUUUAUCUAUUGCCAGUUUAAAGUACUAAACUAUGCAGAAAUCAAGACACAAAACUCAGAGAUAAGGC
Tympanuchus pallidicinctus (lesser prairie-chicken) is the source of this 392-nucleotide long non-coding RNA. RefSeq lists it as uncharacterized. The record is from RefSeq and is a predicted model, not a curated record. Lineage: Eukaryota; Metazoa; Chordata; Aves; Galliformes; Phasianidae. The transcript has 3 exons.